RNAcentral lists this unclassified non-coding RNA (206 nucleotides) under soil metagenome. Its description in RNAcentral is "partial contains 5.8S ribosomal RNA, internal transcribed spacer 2, and large subunit ribosomal RNA". The record is from RNAcentral.
AACUGAUACUACCUGCGGGAACCUGCGGAAGGAUCAUUACUGAGUGAGGGCGCAAGCCCGACCUCCAACCCUUUGUGAACCAACUCUGUUGCUUCGGGGGCGACCCCGCCGUUUCGGCGACGGCGCCCCCGGAGGUAUUCAAACACUGCAUCUUUGCGUCGGAGUCUUAAAGUAAAUUUAAACAAAACUUUUAACAACGGAUCUCU